Molecule: long non-coding RNA, 3967 nt
Filed under: Homo sapiens (human)
Lineage: Eukaryota; Metazoa; Chordata; Mammalia; Primates; Hominidae
Source: RNAcentral
AUCACAUGAUGCAGAGGAAGGCAGGAAGUGCUAAUGAUUUGCAGCAAACCACCAGAAGCUUGACAAGAGGCAUGGAGCAGAUGCUUCCUCACAGCCCUCAGAAGGAACCAACCCGCCAACCCCUUGAUCUCAGAUUUCUGGCCUCCAGAACCGCGAGACAGCAGAUUUCCAUGGCUUGAGCCGCCCGGUUUGUAGUACUUCAUUAUGGCAGCUCCAGCAAACAAAUACAGAUUUAUGACCUCGUCUACCCGACGAGGAUGCCUGGCCCAAGCUGGCAUACUAAGAGUUUUCCUGGAACUUGGGAACUGGGACAAAGAGGGACUAAGCCAGCAAGACCGAAAAGCAUGGCAGUCCCAGGACAGCCAUGAAAACCAUAUGUGAAUUAAUGAGUGAGCAGAUUGGAGCAGCAUUGUUUUGGACCCUAAGGACGUCACGUACAAAAUGCACUUAAAUCCUUGCCUCCUGGAGCUGAUGAUAAAGAAGAUGGACAAGUAAAACAUAUGGAAUGUGAAAUGGUGAUAAGAGUGAUGGAGAAAAUAAAACAGGAGAGGAGGUUGGAAUUGCCAGGUUACGACACAGCAAGAAGGCCCUCGCCAGAUGCAUCUCCUCCAUGUUGGACUUCCCAGCCUCCAGAUCCCUGAGCCAGAUAAAUUUCUAUGGUUUACAAAUUACCUAGUCUGUGGUAGUCUGUUACAGCAAUACAAAUGGACUAAGACAAUUAUCAUAUCUAACAAAACAAAAAUUCUUUCAAAUCAUCAUGUAUCCAUUCAAAUUCAAAAUUUCUUGAUUGUGUCGAAGUAAGGUUUUUUUAAACAUUAAUUUAGUUUGAUUCACAUUUCAAUUUUUAGUCUAGCACAGGAUCACCCACGAGGGAGCAUUUUGAAAAAGUGUGGAGUGUUUUUGGUUGCCCCAAUGAUGGGUAAGGGGCUUACUUCUGGCAAGUAGAGGCUGGGACCCCAGGCAGCUCAAUCUUUUACUAUCUGUGAGACAAUCUCACCAUCUCAUAUAUACUUACCCUAUGCUCCACACAAUUUUCAAAUGUUCUACUAGAUAUUUACAGAGUUGUUUAUAACUUGCUUAUAACUAUCUGAGCUUUAAAAAGUAACAAUUUUAUAUGUAAACAGAGAGACUUUUUAAAAAUGAUUUUUAAUAUGCACUAACUGUAUGCUAAGAAUGAAACUACUCUGUAAAUUAAGGGAAGAUUAGAGUUUGUGUUGUUAAUUUCUUUACCAGAUUUGCUCACUCUUUUGGAAAAUCACAUCAUUGACUGCCACACCACUCAUGGUAAUUGAGUCUCCAAUAUGCCUGUAUUAGUUUUCAUUCAUAGCUGUCAUAACUGUGGUGUUUUGCUUUUAGGAAAUAGUGCCUGUCUUAUCAUGUAUCCCGCAUAGUCCUCUCUGAGUUGUUGGCUAUUGAAAUACACCCCUAUGUGUGAUUCCUUAGCUUCUUCCUACUCUAAGUGUUGCUCAGUCCUUCUCAUCAUGCCUGAACCAGAUACUGUGGUCUCCAGCUGUCUUUCUCUUAGAAUAAUGUCCCAGCAUUUAGGUUUGGUUGGGGACGGGAGCAAGGGGUGGGCAUGAAUUUCCUGAGCUUCCCUGGCAUUUGCAGGGAGACAGCAAGGGAAUACCUCUGUGGGUCACAACAGAGGGAGAGCCAGCUGAGCUUGCAGGAUGGAAACAUUUAGUAGGCUCCCUCCAGCCAUCACUGUCUCCACUACUGCUGACGCCACCAUCCAUAACAAAGCUUCCAAUUUGCAGGCUUCAGAUUCAGCUUCUGUUUCCUGAGUGCCUCCACUAUACCAGCCAUUGGGCCAGGCAUCCAGAAGCCCUAAGGUAGACCUCAUCAUCCCUGUUCUACAGGAGAGGAAAACCAAGACUUGGCUACUACAGUAUACAAAGGGUGUGGAAAAGUCCUCCUAGAACCCUUACCCUGCUUCCAGGAGGAGCUGGACAGUUCUUUCCAAGUCCAGGCAGAAAGAAGUCUCCUCUUUUUCCAUUCUCUUUGUUACUUUAUAUGUCUGUGCAGGCUUGGUUGAGGAAGAAGGGGGGCCAGAAGGAAGUCUGGCCAGAUGGCAGGGUAAUAAAUGACUCUGACUUAAUAAUUUGUUGCUCUCCUCUUAAUUAAAAGGCUUUUCCCUAAAUGAUUUGCUGAUCACACAAACAGCACACACUAGUUGGGCGAGGACUGGGGGCCCAGGGAAAUCUAGACUGAGAGGAGAAGGCAUUGGAAUAAAGAGGUGGCAGAUGGCAGAAGAAGCCCACCCUCCAUGUCCCAGGGUGGGCCCAGCUUCAGGAGCUCCCUCCUCCUCAGGUCUGAAACAAUUCAAUCCAAUGAUAGAGCUUUGGGGGACUGGUUCUUCUUUCAGGCCUCAGCUUUUCUGGAAGCUGACUUUGCCAGGGGGCUUUUUAAUUUCUGGGAUGAAGAUAUAAGCUUUAUUUUAUCUAACACGUGGCUUUGCAUUCAGUUUCCUCAAAGCCCCAUGUGGCCUUGGGGGGUGAUCAGGUAGCCUUUGGACCAUUUUGCAUAUAAACUGUCACUUAUACACUUGAUCAACUGGGGUGGUGGUCAUAGAGGGGGACAGGGCACCCAUUGUUCCAAGCAGCGUCCUGUCAAUAUCUGCAGUUGCAAGCAAAUGACACUAGAUAGUGUCAAUGGAUAAGCUCUCUAUUGCAUCUUUACAACUGCAAUUUAUAAGUUCCUGGGAUUAAAAUCUGCUUUCCAGCAAUUAUCACACAGAGGUAUAUUUUCAAAGCCUCACAUGUAAUUAGAACAUGUUAUUGAUAAAGUGCUAGCUAAAGAUUUAGACUUUGAGUCUGUUCAUGAGGGAUCAGUUUUGUUAAUAUUGAUAAUGUUUUCCCCCUUUAAUGCAGUUAGGAGUUAGAUUGAGAUGCCAAAUUCAAUCAAAAUGCACAUCUUAUCCCCCGCCAAGGGACUUCUGGCUCUCUUUUACUUGUUCAGACUUGUAGAAAGGACCCCAGAGAUCGUGUCAUAUAGGAAAACAUCCUGCCAAUCUAUAACUCUAUGUUAAAGAAUAAACUCUUUUACACAUUAUUUUGGUUAACUAGAUUUUUCUCAGCAUUUGUGCUUCCAUCAGAUUGGAUCAUCCUUGCCAUAACCACCAUCUUCCUAUUAUUGCUGGAUUCCAAAUUUCUACUUAGCCAGUUCAGACACCACUUCAUCCGCUUAACCUUCCUGAUUCUGUAUUCCCUGUGUCUCCAUCAUCAGAGCUCCUCACUAAACCCCCAAGGCCAUUUAUCUGUGAUUGAUUGAUUGAUUUCUUUUUAGAGACGGAGUCUCACUAUGUUUCCCAGGCUAGAGCACAGUGUCUAUUCACAGGCAUAAUCAUAGCCCACUAAGGCCUUGAAUUCCUGGGCUCAAGCAACCCUCUUGACUCAGCCUCCUAAGCAGCUGGGACUACAGGCACACACCACUGCACUGAUCUUAUCCACAAUUCUUUUUUUAUUAUAUUUUCCACACAGGUAUUCUCUCUUCUCCUAGUCUUUAAGUUCCUUGAGACAAACUUUCUUUUUAGUGUUUGUAUUUCAUCUGUUGGCAACAGUAUCUUGCACACAAAUCAUAAAGACCAAGUUGAAGAGGCUUCUUACUUUGUUUCAUCAGUCUGCUAAUAUGUUAUCAAUAUCACACUAGUUUUAUUAUUGUAGCUUUGUAGUAUAUUUUAAACAUUAAUAGAAUAAUAACUUACAUUUAUUGAUUACUUAAUGUAUUCCAGGCAAUGAGCUAAGUGCUUUACAUGAUCUCAGGUAAUCCUAACAGGAAGUCUAUGGGAUAGGUACAAUUAUUUCCAUAUUACAGAUGGAAAAAACAAAAUUUAAAGAGAUGAAUUUACUCCAAGACAAAUGCAAAAAGUGCAGAACAGUGUAUAUAGCACACUGCCAUCUGUAUGAAAGGGAAGAUAAAUAAAUGUUUUUACUUAAAUGUGCAUAGAAUAUAUCCAGAAAAAUAUGCA